ACGAACGCUGGCGGCAUGCCUAACACAUGCAAGUCGAACGAGACCUUCGGGUCUAGUGUCGCACGGGUGCGUAACGCGUGGGAACCUGCCCUUAGGUUCGGAAUAACUCCCCGAAAGGGGUGCUAAUACCGGAUAAUGUCUUCGGACCAAAGAUUUAUCGCCUUUGGAUGGGCCCGCGUUGGAUUAGCUAGUUGGUAGGGUAAAAGCCUACCAAGGCGACGAUCCAUAGCUGGUCUGAGAGGAUGAUCAGCCACACUGGGACUGAGACACGGCCCAGACUCCUACGGGAGGAAGAAGUGGGGAAUAUUGGACAAUGGGCGAAAGCCUGAUCCAGCAAUGCCGCGUGAGUGAUGAAGGCCUUAGGGUUGUAAAGCUCUUUUACCCGGGAUGAUAAUGACAGUACCGGGAGAAUAAGCGCCGGCUAACUCCGUG
RNAcentral lists this ribosomal RNA (432 nucleotides) under uncultured bacterium. RNAcentral describes it as "partial 16S ribosomal RNA". It matches the Rfam family "Bacterial small subunit ribosomal RNA", at positions 29 to 507 of the family's 1533-position model. The record is from RNAcentral.